This 358-nucleotide long non-coding RNA is filed under the name Lathyrus oleraceus (garden pea). RNAcentral's name for it is "Pisum sativum (pea) long non-coding RNA (PSAT_LNC022330)". Lineage: Eukaryota; Viridiplantae; Streptophyta; Magnoliopsida; Fabales; Fabaceae. The record is from RNAcentral.
AAUACCACACUUUUGAAAACAAUUUUUAUAUUUAAAAUAUAAUAUUCAAAGAGUGGGGAAUAACUAUUUCAAGAAUUUUUUUUAAUUUAUUUUAAAUUACAGUCUUUAGAUUGAAUUUAGUUUAAUGAUUAAUUAUUAUUUUUAUUUAAUUAAUUAUUGAAUUAGAUUUAAUUAAAAAGUUGUGAUUUAGAAUAAGCUAAAAAUAUUUACUAUUAGAAUAAAUUGAUCUCCAUUCUUAUUCAAAAUAUUACAUUUUAGUUUUUUUUUUAUUUAUUCAAAUGGAUUUGAACACUGAAUGCCGAUCCAGUAUUGGUGUUCUUUGUUUUUCUUUUUUAUCAUUUAUCUAUAGUUUUUGAAC